CGGGGAUUAGCGCAGUGGUAGCGCAUCUGUUUUGGGAGCAGAGGGUCGCGAGUUCGAAUCCCGCAUCCCCGACCA
Molecule: transfer RNA, 75 nt
Filed under: Fluviispira sanaruensis
Lineage: Bacteria; Pseudomonadati; Bdellovibrionota; Oligoflexia; Silvanigrellales; Silvanigrellaceae
Description: Silvanigrellales bacterium RF1110005 tRNA-Pro
Rfam family: tRNA
About the family: Transfer RNA (tRNA) molecules are approximately 80 nucleotides in length. Their secondary structure includes four short double-helical elements and three loops (D, anti-codon, and T loops). Further hydrogen bonds mediate the characteristic L-shaped molecular structure. tRNAs have two regions of fundamental functional importance: the anti-codon, which is responsible for specific mRNA codon recognition, and the 3' end, to which the tRNAs corresponding amino acid is attached (by aminoacyl-tRNA synthetases). tRNAs cope with the degeneracy of the genetic code in two manners: having more than one tRNA (with a specific anti-codon) for a particular amino acid; and 'wobble' base-pairing, i.e. permitting non-standard base-pairing at the 3rd anti-codon position.
Source: RNAcentral